GACGCUCCGAAGAGUAGGCAGUACACACAGGAAUAAAGUGAGCGGACUUGGUCAGCUGAUACACAAUCACCCAAAUAGCAUCGACCUUUAUCAAAGUUUGUGUCAAAAAAUUAUAAAAGAAAGUGUCAAUGCUUUAAUUUCCAACACCAAUCAACACAUAUGCUGUUCCAACAUAAUUUUUUAUUAGAAUGUCCAAAACACUAAAUAUCCAAUUUCAGAAACCGUUUGAAGGGCAUAUAACUCACAACAUCAUGGCAGCACUUUCAACUUUACAAGAAUAACAAAUAAUUAUAAAGUUGGCAUUGCUCCGUUCUUUAUAUUAGCUCAAAAAUAUGUAUAAUCAAACAUAGUUCAAUAAACCAAUUUCGCAUUGCAGUACAGAUUAUUGAAAGUAACUUCGUCAAAAUUGCCUCCAAACAAACAAAUAAAAAUAAAUAAAUAAAUCACAGCAACCCAAUGAACAAAUUCAGAAUAUAUACCCCAUCAUAUGAAACAACUAAAUCUUAACAGAAGUAGGAAUUUAUCCUCAAGCAAGUAUAGGAUUAUAAACAAAGGCAAAAUUGAGUUACACAUCAAUCUCACAAAUCAGCACGACAAAAUGGGAUUCUGUGGGUACCUUAAAUGCAAAGGGGGAAAGCAGAAUGACAAAAACCAAAUAAAGGUAAGGAGAAGAAGCAGGAAACUCGGCGCACAGGGACAUCAACAAACAGCAAAUUCUUAUACCAACACAGCUCGAGAAUCUCAGAAAGUAAGCAACAACUGAGCUCGGACAGCUAUAUAAACGAAGACUCCAACGCAACCUCAAAACUUCGACCUCUGACUUUACCCGGAAUCUCAAAGACAGAAAGAAAUAGAUUGGUAAGGAGGGAGCCAAUCUUCACAUGAUUUUUGGGACUAUUUCAAGAUUGUUUCAUGGCUGAAGUUUGUGACGGAUUUUUCAGUUGUGAAUUCGGGAGUUUUGGAGCUAGAAUUUGGGUAUUUACAUGGCUGAGAAGAGAGUGUUUCUG
Molecule: long non-coding RNA, 1007 nt
Filed under: Nicotiana tabacum (common tobacco)
Lineage: Eukaryota; Viridiplantae; Streptophyta; Magnoliopsida; Solanales; Solanaceae
Description: long non-coding RNA (NTAB_LNC005215)
Source: RNAcentral